ACUAUUCUAACGAUAUAAAUAAAAUAACCAUUAAUAGCGCAAAUUGUUCGAUGAACUGGAGGCCGAGCACCCUAGACUCCUGGCUCGCUGGGGUUUGUGUACACAGCGCGGACACCACGCAUCCGUCAGGUAAACCGAGCGCAGGUGAGGUCCCCGCAGGCGCGUCAGCGGGACCGGCUCGUGACACGCACAGGCCAAGACACGCACGCGGUUCCGGACAGACAGACGCACACGCGGAGAACGCCGCGUGAGUUCACUGAAAAAAGGGAUACCCAAGAAUACUGCUGUCUGAUCUCAACUCAGUGGAGGAAAGAUUCACAGCCUCCUUCCUUGGGUUUGGCAAUCACCCCUCACACCCACCCUCAGCCACCAGCACAGGAACAUUUACUACACAAGAGGGCUCUGUGAGAAAACUGCUCCUUAGCAAGGCUGAAGGACUGCCCGAGGUCACAAGACUACAGAAGAGGUAGAACGUGGCUCCAAGCCCCUCUGGUGGACUCCAGGGUCAAUGCUUUGGCCCAACAUAGGUGUGAUUAUAAUUUAAAGAAAGCCCUGUCUUCCUCAGAUCCAACCCCAAAGGCAGUCUCACUGCCUCUGUGGGCUCUCUCCUGCGGAGAAGAAUUUCACUGGUGCCAACUCUCACACAAGCAUGCUUCUGUGGUUUGAGUACCUACAAGCUUACUGGCUGUGGGAGGUAUAAAAUGUUCAUAUGUGCCCGCAUCCAUGCUCACUUGCUUUGUGUAUGGGCACAAUUACAUACACACACAAACACAGGCCACACUUUCUAUUAUACUAAUGGGUAAAUGGGUGUGUAUUUUUUUAAGUAUAAAUUGCAGUAUAAUUUCAAUGUGGUUUUUAUUACUUUCAAGAACACACACAGUCAUUACAACUCUGGUAAUAAAAUCUAUUCCCUCUUCUCUGACUGCAAAUUAGACAGGUCCUUAUGGGACCACUUUGUACAAGACUAAUUGUAAUGAUACCAUAAAUUGCCUGUAUGGAAAUAGUGCAUCUGAUUGUCAUGAAAGCUAGUUCUCAUCUUGGAUCAUAUAAACAUUUCUCUCCAAAUCUCAUGUCACUACAAGUAAUUCACAUUGUGAGGGGAAAAGGAGGGAGGGGAAUUCAGAAUGAGUGUUAGCCCAGUCCUCCUGUUUUGACCACACUCAGAAAGGGCAGAGCUCUACUGUGGAAGCUACAUUUAUGGGGAGUCCUGCAUGCCUUCUUCCCCCUGCCUAUCCACCUGUGCACAUACUGUUGUCUUCACACAGGAAGUCACCUUCCUUUUCAUUUAAGGAGAAAGAU
Molecule: long non-coding RNA, 1299 nt
Organism: Dama dama (fallow deer)
Lineage: Eukaryota; Metazoa; Chordata; Mammalia; Artiodactyla; Cervidae
Exons: 3
Source: RefSeq, a predicted model, not a curated record